GAUUGUCUUGUUUGAUUUUCAAAGAGCUUUUCAUAUCAAAUCAUUAUGCAGGUUGUUUCUCAAACCCAUUGAACAUAAUGAUCGGACGUCAUCUCCCAAUUUUGAAUUCCCUGUAUUCGAAGCGGAAGAAGAUGAUGCUUGAAGGGAUUCCUGACGAGAUUUCCCAACUUCUUGAGCAAGAAAAGAAGAUCACUCAGCUGUAUCUCGAGAAUCAGCAGAACAGCCAACUGGGGCAUUAAGAAAAAAAUCAAUCAAAAAAAAACAAAGAAAGAGAGGGUGCAAAAUCAAAAGAAAUCAAAAGAAAUCAAAAGAAAGAAAAAGAAAGAAAAAAACAAAAGAAAAAAAAUAGCACCCUCAAAGUCCCAAGUUGACUGAUGCUGAAUUCGAUCGAAAAAAAAAGAGAGACC
This 407-nucleotide long non-coding RNA is filed under the name Lathyrus oleraceus (garden pea). RNAcentral's name for it is "Pisum sativum (pea) long non-coding RNA (PSAT_LNC005857)". The record is from RNAcentral. Lineage: Eukaryota; Viridiplantae; Streptophyta; Magnoliopsida; Fabales; Fabaceae.